This 497-nucleotide ribosomal RNA is filed under the name uncultured bacterium. RNAcentral's name for it is "partial 16S ribosomal RNA". It matches the Rfam family "Bacterial small subunit ribosomal RNA", at positions 28 to 507 of the family's 1533-position model. The record is from RNAcentral.
GAUGAACGCUGGCGGCGUGCCUAGUACAUGCAAGUCGAGCGAACAGACGAGGAGCUUGCUCCUCUGACGUUAGCGGCGGACGGGUGAGUAACACGUGGAUAACCUACCUAUAAGACUGGGAUAACUUCGGGAAACCGGAGCUAAUACCGGAUAAUAUAUUGAACCGCAUGGUUCAAUAGUGAAAGACGGUUUUGCUGUCACUUAUAGAUGGAUCCGCGCCGCAUUAGCUAGUUGGUAAGGUAACGGCUUACCAAGGCGACGAUGCGUAGCCGACCUGAGAGGGUGAUCGGCCACACUGGAACUGAGACACGGUCCAGACUCCUACGGGAGGCAGCAGUAGGGAAUCUUCCGAAAUGGGCGAAAGCCUGACGGAGCAACGCCGCGUGAGUGAUGAAGGUCUUCGGAUCGUAAAACUCUGUUAUUAGGGAAGAACAAAUGUGUAAGUAACUAUGCACGUCUUGACGGUACCUAAUCAGAAAGCCACGGCUAACUACGUG